Molecule: non-coding RNA, 143 nt
Organism: Gossypium hirsutum (cotton)
Lineage: Eukaryota; Viridiplantae; Streptophyta; Magnoliopsida; Malvales; Malvaceae
Source: Rfam
UAUUAAAAAUCUCAUCUAUUUAUACUGUUAAAAACUGACUUGGCGACGGAACAACCAAAAAGUGACAUAUUACGUGCCACGUGUACCCCAUACUGAUGUACAAAGACCAAUUUUUAAAGUAGAACUAGACAGAAUUUUCAACA